UGGCCUCUCUCUCCAGAAGGGGGCGACAGCUGGAAGGACGAGCUGCUGCAGCUGGCUCGGUCCAAACAGGAGAGACUGACAUCUGAACUGGACCACCUGAGACAGGUUUGCGAGGAGCAGCAGGACGACCUGCAGCAGCUGAGGCGGGGCGAGAGGAGCGCCGGGGAGCUGCUGAGCAGCCAGGACGAGCCGGACCACCGGCCUCCUCCACCCCUCGCCGUGAGGAGCCACAGAGACCCGUCCUCGCUGACCGGAGCCCUGAGAGGACCAGGACGCCGCCGGCAGGCAGACGUACAGCCUGACGCUGCUUUAGCGAACCAGACAUGGAGGACGGUCUCCGCUGCGCCCGGCUGCUCUCUGCUGGAUGAAUCCCGGCUGUUCGCCACUGGUCCAGACGGCGGCGUGACCCUUGACCCCCGCCGGCCCCCCCCCACUGCCCCCUCUCUGAAGUGUGGCGCUCCACCCUGAAGCCGAAGCUUCCUGCGGCGCCGCGUCAAAAACCUCGUCCGAAUUCAGUGUUACGCCCCACAGGGUGAAAAAACCCGAUCGCGAUGAAUGUAUUUUUAAUUAAACAUGAGCUGUGAUGAAGAUAUUGAAUUGAAAGCUCUUCAUUUGUCCCA
This 620-nucleotide long non-coding RNA is filed under the name Salarias fasciatus (jewelled blenny). RNAcentral's name for it is "lncRNA (ENSSFAG00005017887.1)". The record is from RNAcentral. Lineage: Eukaryota; Metazoa; Chordata; Actinopteri; Blenniiformes; Blenniidae.